Molecule: ribosomal RNA, 2188 nt
Filed under: marine sediment metagenome
Description: bacterial LSU rRNA
Rfam family: Bacterial large subunit ribosomal RNA
Source: RNAcentral
CCUUAAGUCGGAGAAUGAUUAGGAGAACGGUCUGGGAAGGCCGGCCAUAGUGGGUGAUAGCCCCGUAUCCGAAAAUCUGAUCAGGUGAAAUCGAGUAGGUCGGAGCACGUGAAACUUUGACUGAACAUGGGGGGACCAUCCUCCAAGGCUAAAUACUCCUGGCUGACCGAUAGUGAACCAGUACCGUGAGGGAAAGGCGAAAAGAACCCCGGAGAGGGGAGUGAAAUAGAACCUGAAACCGUGUACGUACAAGCAGUCGGAGCCCUCUUUGUGGGGUGACGGCGUACCUUUUGUAUAAUGGGUCAGCGACUUAAUUUCAGUAGCGAGGUUAACCGUUUAGGGGAGCCGUAGGGAAACCGAGUCUUAAUAGGGCGUUUAGUUGCUGGGAUUAGACCCGAAACCGGGCGAUCUAUCCAUGGGCAGGUUGAAGAUGCGGUAACACGCAUUGGAGGACCGAACCGACUACCGUUGAAAAGUUAGCGGAUGACCUGUGGAUCGGAGUGAAAGGCUAAUCAAGCUCGGAGAUAGCUGGUUCUCCCCGAAAGCUAUUUAGGUAGCGCCUCGGACGAAUACCACUGGGGGUAGAGCACUGUUUCGGCUAGGGGGUCAUCCCGACUUACCAACCCGAUGCAAACUCCGAAUACCAGUGAGUACUAUCCGGGAGACACACAGCGGGUGCUAACGUCCGUUGUGAAGAGGGAAACAACCCAGACCGCCAGCUAAGGUCCCCAAAUACCAGUUAAGUGGGAAACGAUGUGGGAAGGCUCAGACAGCUAGGAGGUUGGCUUAGAAGCAGCCAUCCUUUAAAGAAAGCGUAAUAGCUCACUAGUCGAGUCGGCCUGCGCGGAAGAUGUAACGGGGCUCAAACUGGUCACCGAAGCUGCGGCUGCAUACUUUGUAUGCGGGGUAGGGGAGCGUUCUGUAAGCCUGCGAAGGUGUGUUGAGAAGCAUGCUGGAGGUAUCAGAAGUGCGAAUGCUGACAUGAGUAACGACAAUGCGGGUGAAAAACCCGCACGCCGGAAGACCAAGGGUUCCUGCGCAACGCUAAUCGGCGCAGGGUGAGUCGGCCCCUAAGGCGAGACCGAAAGGUGUAGUCGAUGGGAAACGGGUUAAUAUUCCCGUACCUUGGAUAGCUGCGAUGGAGAGACGGAGAAGGCUAGGUGAGCCGGGCGACGGUUGUCCCGGUUUAAGCGAGUAGGGAGUGGACUUAGGCAAAUCCGGGUCCACAAUCUCGAGACGCGACGACGACUGCUCUUAGAGCGGGAAGUCAUUGAUGCCAUGCUUCCAGGAAAAUCUUCUAAGCUUCAGGCUAUUCGAGACCGUACCCCAAACCGACACAGGUGGUCAGGUAGAGAAUACCAAGGCGCUUGAGAGAACUCGGGUAAAGGAACUAGGCAAAAUGGUGCCGUAACUUCGGGAGAAGGCACGCUGGUGGUAAGUGAAAUCCCUGCGGGUGGAGCUGAAGCCAGUCGAAGAUACCAGGCCCCUGCGACUGUUUAUUAAAAACACAGCACUGUGCAAACACGAAAGUGGACGUAUACGGUGUGACGCCUGCCCGGUGCCGGAAGGUUAAUUGAUGGGGUUAGCGCUUGCGCGAAGCUCUUGAUCGAAGCCCCGGUAAACGGCGGCCGUAACUAUAACGGUCCUAAGGUAGCGAAAUUCCUUGUCGGGUAAGUUCCGACCUGCACGAAUGGCGUAACGAUGGGGGCGCUGUCUCUACCCGAGACUCAGUGAAAUUGAAAUCGCCGUGAAGAUGCGGUGUAUCCGCGGCUAGACGGAAAGACCCCGUGAACCUUUACUAUAGCUUCACAGUGAACUUUGAGCAUGUUUGUGUAGGAUAGCUGGGAGGCUUUGAAGUGGGAACGCCAGUUCUCAUGGAGCCAACCUUGAAAUACCAGCCUGACAUGUUUGAGGUUCUAACUUGGUCCCCUUAUCGGGGAUGAGGACACUGUGUGGUGGGUAGUUUGACUGGGGCGGUCUCCUCCCAAAGCGUAACGGAGGAGCACAAAGGUGGGCUAAGCAUGGUCGGACAUCAUGCGGUUAGUGUAAUGGCACAAGCCCGCUUAACUGCGAGACAGACACGUCGAGCAGGUACGAAAGUAGGUCAUAGUGAUCCGGUGGUUCUGUAUGGAAGGGCCAUCGCUCAACGGAUAAAAGGUACUCCGGGGAUAACAGGCUGAUACCGCCC